AAGUCGUAACAAGGUAACCGUAGGUGAACCUGCGGUUGGAUCAUUAGUGAAAUGAUGGGCUCUACUUUUAAGUGAGAGUCUUGAAAUUGGGAGGCCUAACUAGUUUACUGGUGGGUAGUACCUAUCACUUUUUGUGAACUGUUGAAUGUCUUUGGCUAGUAUCCUUAGCUUAAUCUCUAACGAGGUCAACCUAAGGUCUAGCCAUAAUCUUGAACCUAAGGUCUCAUCAAAGUCUAAUACUCUAUUAAAAUAGAAUACAACUUUUGACAAUGGAUCUCUUGGCUCUC
This 287-nucleotide unclassified non-coding RNA is filed under the name fungal sp. RNAcentral describes it as "partial internal transcribed spacer region". The stretch from base 1 to 46 matches the Rfam family "Eukaryotic small subunit ribosomal RNA", at positions 1786 to 1831 of the family's 1831-position model. The record is from RNAcentral. Lineage: Eukaryota; Fungi.